Molecule: long non-coding RNA, 1484 nt
Filed under: Rhinopithecus bieti (black snub-nosed monkey)
Lineage: Eukaryota; Metazoa; Chordata; Mammalia; Primates; Cercopithecidae
Description: lncRNA (ENSRBIG00000045983.1)
Source: RNAcentral
AAAAGAAAGUAAAGUGGUUUACCAAAAGUCAAACCGCUGGUAAGCUGCAAAGAUGGGGCUCAAAACCAGGUUUUUAAAAAAUAUAUAGGCCAGGUGCAGUGGCUCACACCUGUAAUCCCAACACUUUGGGAGGCUGAAGUGGGAGGAUUGCUUGAGGCCAGGAGUUUGAGACCAACCUGAGCAAUGUAGCAAGACAUCAUCUUCACAAAAAUAUUUAAUACAUAAAAUAAAAAAAUAUAUAUAUAUCAAAUCCUACAUCUAGGCCCAGGAGUUGCCCACUUCAGAUUGAGCUAGGACUCACCCAGCUGGCACCACCAGUUUGGACAGAAUGAGAGAUCUCCAGUAUCUGCCCCCAAGUAUAUUCCCAGGGUCCACACAGCUCCAGUCCAGCCCACAGGCAUCUGCUUGUAGUCCCCGCUCCCUCAUCACCCUCCCACUCCCCACCUCAGGUGGACUACUUCCCACUGACAGAGCAGAAGUUCUCGCUGUUGGUGGACAGCCAGUUGGACUCACCCAAGGCCUUGUAUCUAGGGCGUGUGAUGGAGACAGGAGUCAUUGACCCGGAGAUCCAGCGCUACAACACCCCAGGUUUUUCGGGCUGCCUGUCUGGUGUUCGAUUCAACAAUGUGGCUCCCCUCAAGACCCACUUCCGAACCCCUCGACCCAUGACUGCUGAGCUAGCUGAAGCCCUUCGAGUUCAGGGAGAACUGUCCGAAUCUAAUUGCGGAGCUAUGCCACGUCUUGUUUCAGAGGUGCCACCUGAGCUUGAUCCCUGGUAUCUGCCCCCAGACUUCCCGUACUACCAUGAUGAAGGAUGGGUUGCCAUACUUUUAGGCUGUGAGUAGCACUGAUCACUAAGCUGACCUCCCAAGACUGCCCUCUGUCAGCAUCCUUUCCCUGCCCCGAUCCCAAGGCUGCAGGAUGACAAAGGCACUAGAUGCAUGAUGGCACAAAGGAUGAUAAGACAGGCUAUUCUGAAGGUGUCAUAUAACUGGGCAGAGAUUUUUAAAUGUUUGAGGAUGCUACAGAUUUUUAAAUAAAAUAUUAAAAUGGGGCUAUAGCUAAGGGAUGGGAAAAUGGGGAUACAGUAACACCUAGAGAGAUGAGAAAUUGGGGUUACUACCAGGGAUGUGGAAAGAGAAUAUUAGAAACAGAAGGUGGCAGGGGGUAAGCCAGGAAUUCAAACCUGCCAGACACUUGAGAUGAGCUUAGUGUGGUCGAACAGCUAGCUGAGUGUCAUACAUUAUGCUUUUGGCCAAAAGUAAGUGUGUGUGUGUGUGUGUGUGUGUGUGUGUGUGUGUGCAGGUGAAAUCCCAAAGAGUGUGUGUAUGUGUGUAUACAGGUGAGAUCCCAAAGUAUGUGUGUGUGUGUGUGUAUACAGGUGAGAUCCCAAAGUAUGUGUGUGUGUGUGUACAGGUGAGAUCCCAAAGUAUGUGUGUGUGUGUGUAUACAGGUGAGAUCCCAAAGUAUGUGUGUGUGUGUGU